This 91-nucleotide ribosomal RNA is filed under the name Zymoseptoria brevis. The record is from RNAcentral. Lineage: Eukaryota; Fungi; Ascomycota; Dothideomycetes; Mycosphaerellales; Mycosphaerellaceae.
GGCUUCCCGUCCGAUCAGCCAUGAUAAUCAUCUAAUCGCUACACUAGUACUCAAGUUGGUGACAAUUGGGGAAUCCGUAGUGUUGUAUGUU